RNAcentral lists this ribosomal RNA (253 nucleotides) under uncultured Gemmatimonas sp. RNAcentral describes it as "partial 16S ribosomal RNA". It matches the Rfam family "Bacterial small subunit ribosomal RNA", at positions 524 to 776 of the family's 1533-position model. Lineage: Bacteria; Pseudomonadati; Gemmatimonadota; Gemmatimonadia; Gemmatimonadales; Gemmatimonadaceae. The record is from RNAcentral.
UACGGGGGGUGCGAGCGUUGUCCGGAAUCACUGGGCGUAAAGGGCGCGUAGGUGGUUUGAUAAGGGUGUGGUGAAAGUCCGGGGCUCAACCCCGGAUCUGCCGUGCCGACUGUCAGACUCGAGGGCUGUAGAGGCAGACGGAAUUCCGGGUGUAGCGGUGGAAUGCGUAGAGAUCCGGAGGAAGACCGGUGGCGAAGGCGGUCUGCUGGGCAGUUUCUGACACUGAUGCGCGACAGCGUGGGGAGCAAACAGG